GGUAUAGCUUAGUGGUAGAGCACAUGCUGAGCAUGUGUUAGGUCCUGGGUUCAAUCCCUAGGACCA
This 66-nucleotide transfer RNA is filed under the name Marmota monax (woodchuck). RNAcentral describes it as "tRNA.Undet". Lineage: Eukaryota; Metazoa; Chordata; Mammalia; Rodentia; Sciuridae. The record is from RNAcentral.